This 253-nucleotide ribosomal RNA is filed under the name uncultured bacterium. RNAcentral's name for it is "partial 16S ribosomal RNA". It matches the Rfam family "Bacterial small subunit ribosomal RNA", at positions 524 to 776 of the family's 1533-position model. The record is from RNAcentral.
UACGAAGGGGGCUAGCGUUGUUCGGAAUCACUGGGCGUAAAGCGCACGUAGGCGGAUAUUUAAGUCAGGGGUGAAAUCCCAGAGCUCAACUCUGGAACUGCCUUUGAUACUGGGUAUCUCGAGUAUGGAAGAGGUGAGUGGAAUUCCGAGUGUAGAGGUGAAAUUCGUAGAUAUUCGGAGGAACACCAGUGGCGAAGGCGGCUCACUGGUCCAUUACUGACGCUGAGGUGCGAAAGCGUGGGGAGCAAACAGG